GACGAACGCUGGCGGCGUGCUUAACACAUGCAAGUCGAACGGAAAGGCCCUGCUUUUGUGGGGUGCUCGAGUGGCGAACGGGUGAGUAACACGUGAGUAACCUGCCCUUGACUUUGGGAUAACUUCAGGAAACUGGGGCUAAUACCGGAUAGGAGCUCCUGCUGCAUGGUGGGGGUUGGAAAGUUUCGGCGGUUGGGGAUGGACUCGCGGCUUAUCAGCUUGUUGGUGGGGUAGUGGCUUACCAAGGCUUUGACGGGUAGCCGGCCUGAGGGGGUGACCGGCCACAUUGGGACUGGAAUGCGGCCCAGACUCCACCGGGAGGCAGCAGUGGGGAAUAUUGCACAAUGGGCGGAAGCCUGAUGCAGCAACGCCGCGUGCGGUAUGACGGCCUUCGGUUUGUAAACCGCUUUCGCCUGUGACGAAGCGUGAGUGACGGUAAUGGGUAAAGAAGCACCGGCUAACUACGUG
Molecule: ribosomal RNA, 468 nt
Filed under: uncultured bacterium
Lineage: Bacteria
Description: partial 16S ribosomal RNA
Rfam family: Bacterial small subunit ribosomal RNA
Source: RNAcentral